UGCGCAGGCGGAUUAAUAAGUCGGGGGUUAAAUCCAUGUGCUUAACACAUGCACGGCUUCCGAUACUGUUGAUCUAGAGUCUCGAAGAGGAAGGUGGAAUUUCCGGUGUAACGGUGGAAUGUGUAGAUAUCGAAAAGAACACCAGUGGCGAAGGCAGCCUUCUGGUCGAGUACUGACGCUCAUGCACGAAAGCGUGGGGAGCAAACA
This 207-nucleotide ribosomal RNA is filed under the name uncultured Chlorobaculum sp. RNAcentral's name for it is "partial 16S ribosomal RNA". It matches the Rfam family "Bacterial small subunit ribosomal RNA", at positions 568 to 774 of the family's 1533-position model. Lineage: Bacteria; Pseudomonadati; Chlorobiota; Chlorobiia; Chlorobiales; Chlorobiaceae. The record is from RNAcentral.